RNAcentral lists this non-coding RNA (27 nucleotides) under Mus musculus (house mouse). Lineage: Eukaryota; Metazoa; Chordata; Mammalia; Rodentia; Muridae. The record is from RNAcentral.
AGAAAUCCAAAACACCAUCAGAUCCUU